UACGGAGGAUGCGAGCGUUAUCCGGAUUUAUUGGGUUUAAAGGGUGCGUAGGCGGGCUUUUAAGUCAGCGGUAAAAAUUCGGGGCUCAACCCCGUCCGGCCGUUGAAACUGGGGGUUUUGAGUGGGCGAGAAGAAGGCGGAAUGCGUGGUGUAGCGGUGAAAUGCAUAGAUAUCACGCAGAACCCCGAUUGCGAAGGCAGCCUUCCGGCGCCCUACUGACGCUGAGGCACGAAAGUGCGGGGAUCGAACAGG
RNAcentral lists this ribosomal RNA (252 nucleotides) under uncultured bacterium. RNAcentral describes it as "partial 16S ribosomal RNA". It matches the Rfam family "Bacterial small subunit ribosomal RNA", at positions 524 to 776 of the family's 1533-position model. The record is from RNAcentral.